GUUUAGACCGUCGUGAGACAGGUUAGUUUUACCCUACUGACGACCAUAGAAGAAAUGUUGUUGCGAUAGUAAUCCUGCGAAGUACGAGAGGAACCGCAGGUUCGGACAGUUGGUUGGCGCACUUGGUCGAGCGGCCAGUGGUGCGAGGCUACGUCCGGAUGAUUAUACCUGAAGGCCUCUGAAGGUAGAAUCGAUGCUGGAGGAAGGCAAUGAUACGCAGCGUCUUUUGACUCGUUUCGACGUUUUAUCUGGGUGGCUAUAACGAGACCCGUCUCGGUUAGAGAUUAAAACUCGCUCCAUCAGCGAGGGGGUGUCCGGCCUUUUCGUUUCGUUUCGGACGAAUGCCUGGUCGGCGCUUCAUUCUCGAGCCGCGGUUUUCAGAGGGGAGGUUCGCCGACGGCUAUGCUGGGUGUCCGCCACGGGAGUGCCAGGCAUGCGCCGGUUCGCCUCUUUCUUUUUACCCGACUAAAG
This 471-nucleotide ribosomal RNA is filed under the name Daphnia obtusa. RNAcentral's name for it is "eukaryotic LSU rRNA". The stretch from base 1 to 223 matches the Rfam family "Eukaryotic large subunit ribosomal RNA", at positions 2961 to 3401 of the family's 3401-position model. Lineage: Eukaryota; Metazoa; Arthropoda; Branchiopoda; Diplostraca; Daphniidae. The record is from RNAcentral.